Molecule: ribosomal RNA, 509 nt
Filed under: uncultured bacterium
Lineage: Bacteria
Description: bacterial SSU rRNA
Rfam family: Bacterial small subunit ribosomal RNA
Source: RNAcentral
GACGAACGCUGGCGGCGUGCCUAAUACAUGCAAGUCGAGCGGACCAAAGGGAGCUUGCUCCUGGAGGUUAGCGGCGAACGGGUGAGUAACACGUGGGCAACCUGCCUGUAAGACUGGGAUAACAUCGAGAAAUCGGUGCUAAUACCGGAUAAUAAAAAGAACUGCAUGGUUCUUUUUUGAAAGAUGGUUUCGGCUAUCACUUACAGAUGGGCCCGCGGCGCAUUAGCUAGUUGGUGAGGUAACGGCUCACCAAGGCGACGAUGCGUAGCCGACCUGAGAGGGUGAUCGGCCACACUGGGACUGAGACACGGCCCAGACUCCUACGGGAGGCAGCAGUAGGGAAUCUUCCGCAAUGGACGAAAGUCUGACGGAGCAACGCCGCGUGAGUGAUGAAGGUUUUCGGAUCGUAAAACUCUGUUGUUAGGGAAGAACAAGUGCCGUUCGAAAGGGCGGCACCUUGACGGUACCUAACGAGAAAGCCACGGCUAACUACGUGCCAGCAGCCGCGG